RNAcentral lists this ribosomal RNA (274 nucleotides) under uncultured bacterium. Its description in RNAcentral is "partial 16S ribosomal RNA". It matches the Rfam family "Bacterial small subunit ribosomal RNA", at positions 523 to 796 of the family's 1533-position model. The record is from RNAcentral.
AUACGGAGGGUGCAAGCGUUGUUCGGAAUUAUUGGGCGUAAAGCGCGUGUAGGCGGCUUGGAAAGUCGGGUGUGAAAGCCCGGGGCUCAACCCCGGAAUUGCAUUCGAAACUGCCUCGCUAGAGUCUCGGAGAGGAGGGCGGAAUUCCCGGUGUAGAGGUGAAAUUCGUAGAUAUCGGGAGGAACACCAGUGGCGAAGGCGGCCCUCUGGACGAUGACUGACGCUGAGACGCGAAAGCGUGGGGAGCAAACAGGAUUAGAUACCCCAGUAGUCC